RNAcentral lists this ribosomal RNA (490 nucleotides) under uncultured bacterium. RNAcentral's name for it is "bacterial SSU rRNA". It matches the Rfam family "Bacterial small subunit ribosomal RNA", at positions 501 to 989 of the family's 1533-position model. The record is from RNAcentral.
CUACGUGCCAGCAGCCGCGGUAAUACGUAGGGCGCGAGCGUUGUCCGGAAUUAUUGGGCGUAAAGGGCUUGUAGGCGGUUGGUCGCGUCUGCCGUGAAAUUCUCUGGCUUAACUGGGGGCGCGCGGUGGGUACGGGCUGACUUGAGUGCGGUAGGGGAGACUGGAACUCCUGGUGUAGCGGUGGAAUGCGCAGAUAUCAGGAAGGACACCGGUGGCGAAGGCGGGUCUCUGGGCCGUUACUGACGCUGAGGAGCGAAAGCGUGGGGAGCGAACAGGAUUAGAUACCCUGGUAGUCCACGCUGUAAACGUUGGGCACUAGGUGUGGGGGCCACCCGUGGUUUCUGCGCCGUAGCUAACGCUUUAAGUGCCCCGCCUGGGGAGUACGGCCGCAAGGCUAAAACUCAAAGGAAUUGACGGGGGCCCGCACAAGCGGCGGAGCAUGCGGAUUAAUUCGAUGCAACGCGAAGAACCUUACCAAGGCUUGACAUGC